RNAcentral lists this long non-coding RNA (977 nucleotides) under Aotus nancymaae (Ma's night monkey). RNAcentral describes it as "lncRNA (ENSANAG00000039516.1)". Lineage: Eukaryota; Metazoa; Chordata; Mammalia; Primates; Aotidae. The record is from RNAcentral.
UGCAGCCCCUUAAGCAGAGAAGGAGAUGGGUUAUCAGGUGAAUGAGGAAGGGUCUGGGAGCUUCCGUUUUACCCUAAGGUUCUAGGAUUCUCUGACAUCCACGGGGGAGUCUCCCCUGGGAGCAGCUGAACUGAGCAGUGGCUUCUAAAGAAAGGUCACAGCCACAAAGACCUUUGUAAAGCAACAGCCUGAGUUCCUGGGAGGUCCAAUGCCUUGAUCUGGUGAACAGCGUUAGCAGAAGCCAAGAGCUGGAAUCCACAUGCACUUUGUCCCAAGGACUGUAUGUAAGGGGACUCAAACAUAAGACAGGGUUCCUGCCCUCGGCACAGAGGAUGGGGAAAGCCAGCGCAAAUUAGGCGGGAGAGCUGAAAUUCAGCGGAACAGUCACAAGGAUUACAAAGCAAACUUAACCAGUAGCGCUUCCUCACCGCCUCCCCCGCAAAAAAGUGUUUUUCUCCGGGGCCCAACCAGGGUUCCGGAAAGAGGUGGGCCCCUCCCAGUCUGCAGUGCAAAGUCUACAGAGGAAGAGGGGACUAUUAUUCAAAUCACGACAGCACCAUGCCAUCCAUUCCGCCAGAGCAGAGGCUCCCCUAGCUCCCCCAGUCCUGGGAAACCAGCGACCACUGGAAGCAUGAGGUCCGGCUUCAGCAGGCAUCUUUUCACCCAGAUGGUGAUGUCUGGGCUUUGCCAGAGCUGACACAUGCAGGGAUCUCUGGUCAGAGAAACUCCAGAAGAAAUGUCCUUCCUCACCAUCUGGGUAGGCACUAAUGCACAGCCACCCAAACGGCAGGUGGGGAAGUCAGGUAUGUAUAAAUGCAAUACAAGAUUUGUGCUCUGUUUGGGCAAAGGGCCAGAAAAACGCAGAAAAGAAGGGACUGAUUCUCCAGAGUGAAGUAUGAAGGCUUCUUGGAGGAGGUGACUGACAUGAACCUUAAGGGAUAAAUAACGGCCUAACAGAGCUGCAAAAAACAGAAAAG